RNAcentral lists this transfer RNA (69 nucleotides) under Marmota monax (woodchuck). RNAcentral's name for it is "tRNA.SeC". It matches the Rfam family "tRNA". Rfam says of the family: Transfer RNA (tRNA) molecules are approximately 80 nucleotides in length. Their secondary structure includes four short double-helical elements and three loops (D, anti-codon, and T loops). Further hydrogen bonds mediate the characteristic L-shaped molecular structure. tRNAs have two regions of fundamental functional importance: the anti-codon, which is responsible for specific mRNA codon recognition, and the 3' end, to which the tRNAs corresponding amino acid is attached (by aminoacyl-tRNA synthetases). tRNAs cope with the degeneracy of the genetic code in two manners: having more than one tRNA (with a specific anti-codon) for a particular amino acid; and 'wobble' base-pairing, i.e. permitting non-standard base-pairing at the 3rd anti-codon position. The record is from RNAcentral. Lineage: Eukaryota; Metazoa; Chordata; Mammalia; Rodentia; Sciuridae.
GGGGUUGUAGCUCAGUGGUAGAGUGCUUGACUCAUGCAUGAAGCCCUGGGUUCAAUCCUCAGCACCACA